Molecule: ribosomal RNA, 253 nt
Filed under: uncultured bacterium
Lineage: Bacteria
Description: partial 16S ribosomal RNA
Rfam family: Bacterial small subunit ribosomal RNA
Source: RNAcentral
UACGUAGGGUGCAGGCGUUAAUCGGAAUUACUGGGCGUAAAGCGUGCGUAGGCGGCCAACUAAGUCAGACGUGAAAUCCCUCGGCUUAACCGGGGAACUGCAUCUGAUACUGGAUGGCUUGAGUUCGGGAGAGGGAUGCGGAAUUCCAGGUGUAGCGGUGAAAUGCGUAGAUAUCUGGAGGAACACCGGUGGCGAAGGCGGCAUCCUGGACCGACACUGACGCUGAGGAGCGAAAGCCAGGGGAGCAAACGGG